Molecule: long non-coding RNA, 388 nt
Filed under: Chinchilla lanigera (long-tailed chinchilla)
Lineage: Eukaryota; Metazoa; Chordata; Mammalia; Rodentia; Chinchillidae
Description: lncRNA (ENSCLAG00000024919.1)
Source: RNAcentral
GCCUCCUGUGCAUGACAUGGGUGUUGGCCCCUCCCGGGCAGCAGGAUGGCUGCUGAUGCCCUGUCACCCCAGACCUGGGCUCACCUGGGCCGAGGCCCUGAAGAGGCAUUUAACACAGUCGGGGUGAUUUCAAUAGACAGCCAGGAUUCAUUUCCAGCAAACAGAUGUGUGUGGUUUCAAGCAAGGUGGAACCAAUUGCAGUCGGCUUGAUAGAGAAAGGCAGGUGAUGACAGUGAAUCGUUGGCCAGCCAGUGCUUCCGACGCCACCUCCACGACCAGCACCACUCACCCAAAGCGGACCACGCAUGGGAAGAGCCUGUGCACGAACGGAGUACUGCAGGCACAGAGCGGCGCAGCCAGCUGAGUGUUCUCCAAGCCACCGUCAAAG